UACGGAGGGUGCAAGCGUUAUCCGGAAUCACUGGGUUUAAAGGGUGCGUAGGCGGAUUAGUAAGUCAGUGGUGAAAUCUUUCGGCUUAACCGGAAAAUUGCCAUUGAUACUGCUGAUCUUGAGUGUGGUUGAAGUGGGCGGAAUGUGGCGUGUAGCGGUGAAAUGCUUAGAUAUGCCACAGAACACCGAUUGCGAAGGCAGCUCACUAAGCCAUUACUGACGCUGAGGCACGAAAGCGUGGGUAUCAAACAGG
Molecule: ribosomal RNA, 253 nt
Filed under: uncultured bacterium
Lineage: Bacteria
Description: partial 16S ribosomal RNA
Rfam family: Bacterial small subunit ribosomal RNA
Source: RNAcentral